CCGCCCUAGAGCUCAAUCCUCCCGCCACCGCUCGAGAGUUUGAUCCUGGCUCAGGAUGAACGCUGGCGGCGUGCCUAAUACAUGCAAGUCGAGCGAAUGGAUUAAGAGCUUGCUCUCAUGAAGUUAGCGGCGGACGGGUGAGUAACACGUGGGUAACCUGCCCAUAAGACUGGGAUAACUCCGGGAAACCGGGGCUAAUACCGGAUAACAUUUUGAACUGCAUGGUUCGAAAUUGAAAGGCGGCUUCGGCUGUCACUUAUGGAUGGACCCGCGUCGCAUUAGCUAGUUGGUGAGGUAACGGCUCACCAAGGCAACGAUGCGUAGCCGACCUGAGAGGGUGAUCGGCCACACUGGGACUGAGACACGGCCCAGACUCCUACGGGAGGCAGCAGUAGGGAAUCUUCCGCAAUGGACGAAAGUCUGACGGAGCAACGCCGCGUGAGUGAUGAAGGCUUUCGGGUCGUAAAACUCUGUUGUUAGGGAAGAACAAGUGCUAGUUGAAUAAGCUGGCACCUGACGUACUACCAGAAGUACCCU
RNAcentral lists this ribosomal RNA (537 nucleotides) under Bacillus wiedmannii. Its description in RNAcentral is "bacterial SSU rRNA". It matches the Rfam family "Bacterial small subunit ribosomal RNA", at positions 1 to 502 of the family's 1533-position model. Lineage: Bacteria; Bacillati; Bacillota; Bacilli; Caryophanales; Bacillaceae. The record is from RNAcentral.